Molecule: ribosomal RNA, 252 nt
Filed under: uncultured bacterium
Lineage: Bacteria
Description: partial 16S ribosomal RNA
Rfam family: Bacterial small subunit ribosomal RNA
Source: RNAcentral
UACGUAGGUCCCGAGCGUUGUCCGGAUUUAUUGGGCGUAAAGCGAGCGCAGGUGGAUUAUUAAGUCUGGUGUAAAAGGCAGUGGCUCAACCAUUGUAUGCAUUGGAAACUGGUAGACUUGAGUGCAGGAGAGGAGAGUGGAAUUCCAUGUGUAGCGGUGAAAUGCGUAGAUAUAUGGAGGAACCCCGGUGGCGAAAGCGGCUCUCUGGCCUGUAACUGACACUGAGGCUCGAAAGCGUGGGGAGCAAACAGG